AUACGGAGGGGGCUAGCGUUGUUCGGAAUUACUGGGCGUAAAGGGCGCGUAGGCGGACUAUCAAGUCAGGGGUGAAAGGCCUGGGCUCAACCCGGGAACUGCCUUUGAAACUGAAAGUCUAGAGUCCGAGAGAGGAUAGCGGAAUUCCCAGUGUAGAGGUGAAAUUCGUAGAUAUUGGGAAGAACACCAGUGGCGAAGGCGGCUAUCUGGCUCGGUACUGACGCUGAGGCGCGAAAGCGUGGGGAGCAAACAGGAUUAGAUACCCCGGUAGUCC
This 274-nucleotide ribosomal RNA is filed under the name uncultured bacterium. RNAcentral's name for it is "partial 16S ribosomal RNA". It matches the Rfam family "Bacterial small subunit ribosomal RNA", at positions 523 to 796 of the family's 1533-position model. The record is from RNAcentral.